AAAGUACUCCCUCCGUCCCAAAAUUCUUGUCUUAGAUUUGUCUAGAUACGGAUGUAUCAAGUCACAUUUUAGUAUUAGAUACAUUUGUAUCUAGACAAAUCUAAGACAAGAAUUUUGGGACGGGUGGAGUAGUUG
Molecule: non-coding RNA, 135 nt
Organism: Triticum aestivum (bread wheat)
Lineage: Eukaryota; Viridiplantae; Streptophyta; Magnoliopsida; Poales; Poaceae
Source: Rfam